Long non-coding RNA from Lytechinus variegatus (green sea urchin), 295 nucleotides. RefSeq lists it as uncharacterized. The record is from RefSeq and is a predicted model, not a curated record. The transcript is spliced from 3 exons. NCBI's taxonomy places the organism in Eukaryota, Metazoa, Echinodermata, Echinoidea, Temnopleuroida, Toxopneustidae.
UUUGCCAGGGCCAAUCUGAUGAACAUGUGGCAGAAGAUUUGGCAAUGGGUGAAGAAACACUGAGAUUGAAAUGCAACCACAGGUGGAGGCUUCACCCAAGCUUUUCAGACGGAUGCGAGAUACAAAGUUACGCAAGUAUAAAUGGUUGAAGGUUUUGGAAAGCCAGACAAGAAGGCAGGAAAUGUGAUGUCACUUUUACUUCAAUAAACAUGAACAGCAGCAGGAGCAACAACAGCAUCAGCAGCCGAAACCUCAACUGCAAUAAGAGAUGCAGCAACCGCACCGACAACAUCAA